GGGAGUUUUCGCAAGGCCUUCCGCUCACCCAAAAAGCAUUUUGAUGCGAAGGCUGUCAAGCCAGGGCAGCGAGCUCUCCGGGCAGUGAGUUUCUUAUACAGAUGGGAAUAAGAAAAAAUCGCUAAUGGGUACCUUCGUUUCCGUCGAACCUUGCUUACUUUCUUUCAACAAGAUCUUACUGGGGGUAAAAGAAAGACAUUAUUUCGUUACCAUAAUCAUCCUGAACUCUUGCCCGCAGAACCAGGACAACCUAUGUACAAGAAUUCGCUGUAUUCAUCCUUCGUCCAUAUUUUCACCAUAGGAAAGUGUGUGUGAUUUCUCUGUGAUUAUAUUUCUCGUUUUUGCGGUCAGCUUUGCAUACGCGACAGCAUUGAAAAGGAAAGCGCUGGGCAAGACAUCAAAUCAUCUCAUUGCUGAAUUGAGGAGUCUAUGGAAAGAUUGUAAGUACCCAACGUGAAUUCGUUACCAAAGAUAUACUUCCUUAAGCUAAAUGGGGCCUACACGGAAUGAAUAGGAAAGCAAUGGCCAAUUUAGGAAACAAGGAAGGAAUGCCUUGUGUUGACGAGAACUCCGUUGGCGCAAAUGAUAAGGUACUUGGUUCCCUCAAGAGCAUUACGUCGUGAGUAGGAUUUUUCGAGAUUGUUUCCUUUGGCCAUCCACAAGAGUCCCAAAACCAUGCAAUGCUAUGAUUACCGAUGUGGUGGAGAUAGGUAGUUUGCCAUAUAUUGGGAUAGAUUUCAUCAAUUCAUGGUCACUAAAUUUAGAAGAUACGCACAAUUUGAUUGGCAAACUUUGAUUUCGAUCGUCACAUGUGCUGAAAUUUAAGUCUUUUUCUUUUGCAAUUCAUGCACUUUGAUUGGAAACUAGCCAAUUCUUGAUCCAAACACUGACACGGCGGAUGUGCGGUGCCGGCGUGGUGUCCACCUUCGGCAUCAUGUUAGCACAAAGAAAAAAGAUUAAGAACGUGUUUUUCUUUUUUUCUUUUUUUUUUUAAGGGGGGGAAGGGAAAAGAAGAAGCGAAGAGAGUUACCAUCAGCCCUCUGCCUACAUUUCCCGGAAUUUGCAGAGGGCGCCAUGACCCUCUGUCAUUGCAAGCAGAGGAUUGCGCAACCCCUUGCCGCUGUCCUUGAGGGGUUUACCAUGUCUGGACCAGUUUCCUAUGUUCUUGGUCGGGUCUUGCCGGGUCGAGCCCGUAGUUUAUUGUUUAGUUUUGAGCUGUUUACUAUUUUGUUCCUGCUGAAUUUAUUCGAGGGUUCUAGUUGCACUAAAAAGAUAUAUAUAUAUAUAUAUAUAUAUAUAUAUUUUUUUUUUUUUUUUGAAAAUUAAUAAAAUGGAGCAACAAAGACCUCUUGCUGCAGCCUCAUUGAUCCACAACUGGAAUAAGAAGCAUGUUGUCCAUUGGAUCCGCGGCGAGUCUUCAAGAACACUUCCUCUUACAGUAGCAAUAAUUUAUCAAUCUGGGCUACAGAUGAUAUAAACUUAACGAAAUCUGCUCAUUUCUAGCCAAUAGGCCAAAAUUAUAUAGACCAGAUGAUAAAAAAAUUCAUGGAAUUCGUAACUGAGAUUUUACAUUUUAGAAGGGUGACACACGUAAAGCUUUGGGAAACUACGUUGCACUUUAGCACUGCGUCUAGACCUCAGGAAGAUGGUCAAUUAGAAAGCAUGAUUCGAACAUUCUAAAGUGAUGUUAAAGAGCAUAAGCGAUUGGCACGGCUAGACACAGGCCGAUAUAAUUUUCAAUUUUAAGCUAAAAAGGCAUCUAUUCUAAUUGAACUCGUUAAUUGUCGCAAAAAAAUCGUCUGACACAUUUAAUUUAAAAUGUUGCCCUCAACAGAACUAAUCUAAAUCUUAUUAAAAUAAACUGCAUCGCCCCCUUUCAUGUAUCUUAACUAUUAAAAGAAAAUUAACCCAAAUUACCUAUUGUGGAAGUAUCACAAUACAUAAUUUAUUAAAUAAAACAUGGUUUAAAAUUUUUAUUAAAAAAGCAUAUCUUUUUUUUUUUCUUUCUGUAUCUCAAUGAAUUUCACAAUACAACAAAAAAGUUAAUUGAACGAGUGGUACUUUACAGUUAAAUUCCUUUUGCUUAUAUGAUCAAAUUAAAUCCUAGUAAAACACUACAAACGGCGUUCCUUUUCCUUGCGUUUUAUGCUCUAAUUAACUUCAUUUUCGCUCCAAAAAAAAUUAACUUCAUUUUCAGCCGAUAUAAUUGUGAAGCAUGUUACUAUUAUUAAGACAAUCUUAUGCAUCAGAUUACCUCUGGGGCCAAUAUUAUUUCGUAUGUUGGAUGCAUAAAAUCAUGAAAGUACGAUUUAUAUUUAUUGUUGUAACAAGAAAAUGCAGUCAUCUAUUAUUUGCCUGAAUAACAUGAGAAGGACCCCUUUUUCAGCUAGCAAUUUACUUUGACCUGACAAUUUUGGCUUGCACUUUAUUUUAUUCCUCAUCGCGUUGAAAAUUGUCAUCUUUAGACGGUACUACAAAGCUACAAAACGACGUUUCCUCACAAGUUUACUGAUAAGGACACAGUAGGCAUAUAUAUCACAUCCAAAAAUUCAAUGUUGAGAUCGAAGUCUGGGUGCCUUGUCGAGGACAUCAGUACAGAUGUCUUUUUGGGAAGUUACCUAGAGAAAAUGGAAAAGGCAAAGGCAAAGGCGGAGGGAAAGAAAAAGCAGGAGGGAAAGGGUAAGACAACGAGGGGACGAUUGCAUAGAAGAGGGUGAGGGAGAGAUUUUGGAUCCUUCUGUCGACCUAAGACCCGCAUUUGAGGAAUCGGGUGGAUUCACAUUUGAAUGACCCUCUUGAAACAUCCCUGGGGAACCUUCAGCAUAAUUCUUGUAACGCUCCUCCCUCAUGAAAGCAACAAGCUGUGAAUUGUGAGAAUCGCCCAUCAUUUGCCUCUCCAGGAUCUCCGCACACUCCCUCCACCAUUGCAUAUAGCUGCUUUUCUCCAAAAAUUUGCCAGGGGAAACCUUGUACUUCUCGAUCAGACCCAGAACACAUUUCUCAAACUCCACCAGUUUCACUAUUUUGGAACCGUUUGAUGAUCCUCCGCUUUCCAGCAAUCUGCACGACCGGAUGGCCUACUCCACGUGUGUCCAAAAGCACAAAUCCUCCGUCACGCUCGACUUGACAUUGUUCAAUAUCAAAUUCGAAAGGCCAGCCUUCUCCUGGUAUUUUUUUCUUUUCAGAUGAUCGUCCAGCCAUUCUUCUACCAGCCUGUAGUCUUUGGAUCUUCCUCGAUUUAUGUAAUCCUUUCGGUCCCUUCUGUAAUAUUCUGCUAUGUCCAGUGGUUCCACUAUCCUGCAGUAAUUUGUCCCUCCAAAGAGCCACGGUACCGCAGUGACGUGCCCAUAUUUGAGGCUUCUUCUCCGCUUCUUUGACCACACCCUCCCAGUAAUCCGAGAGGAUUGUCUUGUACUUAUCAAUUCCAUUGUCGUGCCUUUCUCGUGCAUUUUUUAAGCUGUCACAGAAACCAGGACCCCUGCCGUUGGCUUUGCAUACCUUCAUGUACCACUCCAAGAAAGGUACACUUUCAUUUGGUCCAAUUGCUUGGCAGGAUCAAAUGCCUCUCUUUAUUGUCUUAAGACGUCUCUUUCACGCUUUACUAUUUCAUCUAUCAGAGCAUCACUGCCCUCAUUCAGCUGCUGUCAUUGCAAUGAGAGUCCACUCAAUCAAAAUUUAUAAACAUUCUUAAAAAUUUAGAAGCUUCCAACUUCAACAAGUUUUCCUUUUAUCCUGCUAAAAUUCUGAAUUAGUCUAUCCGCGUUUUAAUUAGGUUAAAACAUGGUCAAUGGCAAAAGUGAGAUAUAUUUGUGGUUCCUAGCAGCACAAAUAUCUGCUAAAAAGCAAACUUCCCCUUGAUGGAAUGUAACCAUGGGAAGAAGGUCAAGUUCAGAUACCUGUAUUGGCUUGAGGCCAACCGCUAUGACUUCAGUAGUAACCCCAGCUUUAUACGAAUCUGCUUCUUGCCCAUUCAACCAUGAACAAUCAUUGUGAAUUAAUCUUUGCUCUAGCCAUCCAAUGACAGUCUUAUAAUCAACACUUCGGCUCUCUGUUUCCAACAGCAAUUUCCGACAUAAGCAGCUCCAUGAUGGACUCGGGCUUCAAAACAGGUACCACCUGAUUCAGAACCCAAAAGGAAGGUACCAAAAGGUUUUUAUUGACUUGAGUUAGUGGUGGAAGAGUGAAGGAAUGGUCUAGGAAAACAAUCAUCCAUAUGAGCUACACGCAAGAAGCACAAAUUCCAUGUUAAAUAUUGCGAUACAGCUAGUCGGAAGGCAUUGUCCCUGAGGAGUGGCGAAUUGCAAUUGAUACAGAGAGGGAGUGUUCCCUUUGUUGUGUCGAGUGUGUUUAAAGCCAUAACAUGAAAAGGGAGGCGAUGAAUCCACCCGGUCAGUGUCCUGUAAUAAUAUAGGGAACUGAGUCCUUGGACUUGGCUGAAGCUACUACCUGCGUUGAAGCAAAAUAAGCAUCAAUUCAUAUUCUCAACUUAUAGGUGCCAAAUACAGUCUUUCAAAUGAGAUAAAUAUGCACAGUUAAUAAAUCAAAUGAAACUCUGCCCAAUCAUAUGAUUCAGUUCAAUGAAAGAUUCAAUUUAUAGGGAUUUUCGCAACUAUGCUCAAAACAAUGAGAAAAAUCAUUUCCAUAGCAGAACAGUGCUUCACUUCUCAUCUAAUAGGCUUAAUGAUAGGUGGUGAACAACUCGAAACUCCUCAAUUGUAGCAAUUAUUAGCAUGUCUACUUCAGCAACGAUUUCUGUAAGCAGCAAUUCCUAGAUACAUGCGUACUUAUGAUCUCACAACCGAUAAUAGUAAUAACUAGAAUGGAUAACUUGAGAGAAUAUAUAGAAUUGCUACCUUUUCUUUGAGUCGAGAGAGCUCGUUUCGAAGAGAGUUAAACAGAGAUCGCAGCUUUGUUUAUAUGAAAAGUUGGAUUGGUUUUGGAGCAUAGGAACUGAAAGUUGGGGAUCUUCAGUGAAGGAACCAAAUCUCUUUCCUCUUCAAGACUGCCUGUAGUAACCAGUGAGGUGACAAAGGCAAUGAUAUUGUAGUUCAGGCAGUGAAAUUCAUUGAUUAUUACAGGGUUAUCCCCAUCUGAUCGGAAAGUCGCAGAUUUAAGUCAUGGAAACACCCUCUUUACACGAUGCAAGAGGAAGUGUUGGUUGAUUUGCCGCUCAAGUUCGAUAUGGCAGUCCAUGAAUCCUGAAGAAGAUUUGAUGACACGGCCAAGUUGCCAAAUACAGUCCAUCGCUGACUCUGCAGAUCAAGAAAACAACAUACUACUCUUCAAGAACGUGGAUUAUCAGUAAAGUCGAUGCAAAAUGCAUUCUCUCCACCGAUUGCCGAACCUGGAUUUCUGUUUCAGAAAUAAAAGGCAAAGGAAAGAAAAUUUCUUUACGCACAGAGAAUCAAUAUCUCGGUCCAUUCUCAGAGCUUCGUUGGAUCUGCGCAGACACAGCUAUUUAACAUCGUGCCUCCAUUUUUAACCUGAUUCCAGAAACAAAAAAUGCAAGUGCCAGCUUGCUUAAUAAAUCUUCCAAAUCACCCAGCCGGUAUGAGUGAGAUAUGGAUUUGAUGAAAACUUACGGAAAAAAUUAACUUGUGUUGAAAUGAAAUAACUCAUAUGUCAUUUGAUAUGUACUUUUACCUUGAGUUUGGGUUAUGGAGUUUUGGUAUUAGUGUAUACAAACAUAGUGAUUGUUUAGAAGAGAUAUACUACUUACUGAACUGUGAUUACUCAUCUCACUCGUUUUUCAUGUUUUUCAAGCUCCUCAACUAGUGGCCAAUAGUACGAGAGAGCACUAUUGACAAGAUUUUCGGGAGUAUGAUUUAGGUAUGAGCUUAGCUAGUUUUUUUUUUUUUUUUUUUUUGGUAGAUAGUUGUUGGGUUGGCUGAAUUCUAAAUUGAACAUAUUCUUUGUGAUGAUGAUAGAAAUUUUGAUAUUGUAACCAACUUGUUAUUUUAUUCAAUAUAUAUGGAUGGAGAUAUAUGUUAUUGUUAAUAGGUUAUUGGUUAUGUUUGAGACAACGUCCUUCAUACGAGAGGACGGCCGUGUCAUUCUCUUUCUUGUUGGUUUCAGGAUGUGAUAUAUAUGAUACGGUGCUCGACUCUAUCAAGACUCAAGAGUGAAACAUCCUAAAUUGGAUCUUUCGUAAUUAUUGCCUAUGGCAUCCCCAAGAGUCAUGAACUUGCAUUGGAUGUUAUAAUUAUUUGUCAUCGUUUUGUGGUCGGUAAGAGGGUAUGCACAAUCCGGUCGGUGAACUUCAGAUUUUAAUCAUCGAACGCGCUCAAAUUUCAGCUGCCGACGUAGUGUCUAACUUGGGGCAGCGUAAGCCCCAAGAAAAAAAGUAUAUUGAUACUGUAAAAAUAAAGAUCAAAAAGAAACAAAAUAUGGGUAGAGACCCAUUAACUCUGCUCAGUUGACGACAUUAGCUAGGGUUUACAGAGCGUCGUUACUCUCUUCCAGUACCAGUAACUAUAAAUGCGCAGAUAGGUGGUCGAUAGUUCGAACACACCUUUUCCUCGCUGCUGUGCAUUUACACUGGUUUUUCUCACUUUAAAUGGCAUAUGCUGAUCAUUCCCGUUUUCCCCUUCAAAAGAUGCCAGGAAUAAGCACUCAUGCAGAUUAUUUGCCGGACCUCCUAGCCAGAGAAGAAGAAAAAGAUUACUACAAAGUGUUCCUGAGCUUCUGUGGCAGAGGUACUCGGACUGGCCUGGCUGAUCUCCCCUACAGGAGCCUGGCCAAAACAGGAAUCCGCGUUUACAGAGACAAAGACGAGCUCUGCCGAGGCGAGGUGUUCGGCCCGAAGCUUCUAAGUGCGAUCACAAGGUCCAGGAUCUUGAUCCCGAUCAUCUCGGAAAAUUAUGGCUCGAAAGCAUGGUGACUCUGUGAGCUUGCACAGAUGAUGGAGUGCAGGAGAAACAAUGCACGGUAUACGGUGUUGCCUGUAUUUUAUGGGGUGAAGCCAUGCGACGUGCGACCCCAGGCAGGGAGAUUCGGCGAGGGGUUCCAAUCCGGUACGUGGCGUUUCGAUGACUAGAUUGUGGAUGAUUGGAGGCGGGCGCUUGAAGAAGUCGGUUUUGUAUACGGAUUUGAAGCUGAGAGAGGGUAACUCCUUUUUACUUAACAUAUAUAUUUUCCAUUAUCAUAUAGUUUGGGCAAUAUGAGAAAAGAAAGAUUUCUUUCAAGGUAAAUAUUGACUGCAUAGGUUGUGCAACUUAUUUGAGUAUUAGAACUCGUAGAGAAGAUGCGAGAGAGGGAUUAAUGACGGCUUCUUCUUUUUCCUUGGAGACAAAAUCCUUUGUGGCUGUACUAGAUAAAGUAAUUACAUAUAUAUCCUAUCGGAAUUUAUAUCUAACUGCCAAACCUAGUCUAAAGGAACAAAAAUUCUCUCUCCAACCUUUUGAUGCCUUUCUCAAAGAUCGGAGUCGAAUCGUGAUCUCAUAUUAAACAAAUAACUGUUUUUUUUAUUAGCUAUCUCUUUCCUUUUCUUUUCAAUUUUUUUUACGUUUACCUUUUUUCUACUCUAAAAGUUUUAAAUUCCAAACUUUUUUCACAUUUAAGUAAGGAUUAUAUACCACACGUUACUAGUGAACUUAUACUGAUGUUAGAAAUCUUUCAUAGUUACAUUGUUAGAGUGAAAUUUGUAUGGUCUUCAUAGAACAUAUACAAAUACUAGUAUAAUUGAUCAGGAUAUGAACGACACAACUAUAAAAGAAGUAUUUAGAUAUGAAUGUGACAACACCAAUCACGAGGUUGAUCGAGUCGCCAUCCAAUAUUAGAUUGAUGGGCUUGUCUAAUGGGCAGUUGAAUAUUCUAACAAAGGGUGAGAUGAGAGUUCCAACCCCCGUCCAAACCUUUUUUUUUAUUUGAAAGAAUAUGAAUGUGACAUCACAGCUCGAUUUCUUGCAUAAAUCAAUUUUUUUUAAAUUAAAAUUAAUUAUUAUUCAGUUAUUUUAGGAUUUCAAUUGUUGAUUAAUUAACUCCCAUGCCAUCAGCAGCACACACGAGGACUCUUAUUCUUUUUUCUUUUUUCUUUUUUUUUUUCUUUUUUUGGCUUCUAGCGAGUUAUUAUAACAGGAUUCUCUCAUUUAUGCACUAGACUGCUUUGUUCUUUGACAGGCGAAAAACAAGAUUGAUCAAUGAGAUACAUGAGACAAUUAAUGGCAAAUUAGUGGAAGCCAACCUUUUAACCAUUUCCCUGGAUAGGGAGGUGAAAGCAAGAUUGCUUGAUUUACAUCAACCUAGAUUACACGCACAACUAGUGGUUUGGAAAUGAUGACAUUUAGUGAUGAGUUUCACAACAUGGAUUACUGGCAUGACUCACUAAGGCAGACACAUUAUGGAAAAGGGGUCAGGAAUCAAAUAUACAUAACAUCACAUCAGUACGCAUAGCUCCUUGAAAUUAACUCUUCAUGACUCGUUAUCGAUGGAGUAACGAGUUCGUAAUGUAUCAACCUUUAAGCUUAUCAUGUUUUGGAUUAGUUUUCUAAUUUUUGGUCGAGUCCACAGUUCAUUGUUUAGUUGCGAUCUAUUUACUGUUUUGUUCCUGCUAAAUUUAUUUGAGGGUUCUAGUUCUGCGAUGGGAACCUAUAUCACAGAUAUAAUUUUGUAAUUUAUGUUUGAGAAUUAAUGAAAUGGAGCAUCAAAGACCUCUUGCUACAGCCUCAUCGAUCCAAGAAUGAAAUUGGGAGCACGUUCAUUGGUUCCACGGCGAGUCUUCAAGAACACUAACAGUCACAGUGGUAAUGAUUAUGAAUUUGCGUUAUACUUGAUAUGGACUUUACCAAAGUCUGCUCAUCCCUGCUAAUCUGAGUCUAUCACUUAUCCAAUAGAUUGGCCAAGCUCUAAUUGACAAGAUAGAAAAAAAUUCAUAGAACUUGAAGCCCAUCAAAAGGCUAUGUCGACAGUAAAGAUAACGAGGGUGUGGAUUUCGGUUGGCGAGGCCCUGUUUGUUUGUGUUUCUUGGCCGUGUUUAUGAACACAAUUUCUGUUUUUUUGUUCUCGGGAAUAAAAAAAGAACAAAAACGCAUUUGUUUGGGUUUUUGUUCAAAAUCUAUUUUUUGUUCCCAGGAACAAAUUUAGAACAGAAACAAGAAACAAAAAAAAAAAACUUAUUUUUUGUUUCUGGAACACUUCCGAGAAACAAUUUUUUUUCUCUCGUUUUUUUCUUCUCUUUCUUUUCUUCUUCUUUUUUCUUUGGCCAGCGGCCGGCCUCGGCCAUGGCUAGCGGCUGGCCGUCAAGGGUCAGCAACCUCGCCGGAGCGUCACCAACCCCUGGCGAGGCCGAUCUCGUGCCGGUCGGCGAGGCUCGGCCUCGCCUUGACUGGGCCAGCUUGAGCUCGCACAGAUUCGGCGAGGUUAAGCUCGCCCAGCCAUCGGCGAGGCUCGGCAUCGCUGGGCCACCUCCAGGUUGGCCUUGCUUGGUGGCCCGGUGAGCCUCACCGUGGCUGGGCGAGGCUGCCGACCCUCGUCGGCUGGUCACCGGCCAUGGCCGAGGCUGACGACCGGCCAAAAGGAAGGAAAAAGAAAAAAGAAAAAAAUUAAAAAUUAAAAAGGAAAAUUAAAAUUAAAAUAUUAAAAAUUUAAAAUAAACAAAAAAAUCAUACAAGUUUACCAAACGUGUCCCUGUCCUUUUUCUAUUCUAGGAACAAGUUUACCAAACACGUUCUUUUGUUCAAAAAUUGUUCAUCGGAACAAUUUUUUAAUAGAAACGUUAUCAAACGCACCCUUAAUGACAUAUUAUUAAAAUUAUCUCCAAUGAAAAUGAUGUCUAUUCUCAAAAUAUUGAACAAUCAUUAGAAUUUUAAAAGUCACAUUUUUAUCAUCUAUUCUAAUUGAAAUCGUCAAUUAUGGCAAGAAAAAAAGUCAUGAAUGCAUCUAACUUAUAAUGUUGCCCUAAAUAGAACUAAACUAGACUUUAUUAAAAAAAAAAAAAAGGAUAUGUGCAAUAAAAGUCCUAAAACUUGUCACAAAUGUGAAAUUAAAUUUUAAAACUUGCAAAAUGUGCAAUUAAGUCUUAAAACUAGUCAGAUUGGUGUAAUAGAGUCUUUCCGCUAACUUAUCAUAAUUUUAUUAAGGGAAAACGCUGACAUGGCUAAAACACGAAACAUAAGGCUAAAAUAACAAUAUUUUGGUCUAAAUAUGAUUUUUAGUACAAAUUUAAUUUAAAUUAAAUAAAAGCUACGCUAAAGUUUUUUAUGAAAAAGAAAGAAAAAGAAGAAGAAGAUGAAGAAGUAGGUGGUGAGGGCUAUCCUUGCCGCCGCCGCCGCCGCCCCACAAUUGCCGGCUCAUUAAACUUUGUUUACUUCAUCGCUAACGGGUACGUCACUACGUUUCCGUUAAACUUUGUUUACUUUCUUUCGACAAAAUCUUUUUUUUUUUUUUUGGUGAAGUUAAGAGAUUCUUUCGACAAAAUCUUAAUAUGGGUAAAAGAAAGACAUUAUAUCGUUACCAUAAUCAUCCUGAACUCCUGGGCGUAAAAAAACCCAGACAACCUAUGUUCAAAUAUUCGCUGUAUGUCCAUAUGUUUACCCUAGGAAAGUGCAUGUGAUUUCUCUUUGUGAUUAUAUUUCUUGUUUUUGCUGUCAGCUGUGCAUGCAUCACAGCAUUGAAAAGGAAAGCGCUGGGCAAGACAUCAAUUCAUCUCAAUGCUGAAAUUUGAAGAGUCUAUGAAAAGGAUGUAAAUAGCCAACAUGAAUUCGUUAGCAAAGAUAUACUUCUUUAAGCUAAAUAAGGCCCGCACGGAAUGAAUAGGAAAUCAAUGGCCAAUGUAGGAAAUAAGUAAGGAAUGCCUUGGGUUGAUUGGCUCCCUCAAGAGCAUUAUGUCACAAAUCGAAUUUUUCGUAUUUAUUUCCUUUGGCCAUCCAUAGGACUCACAAACUCGUGCACAGCUAUAAUUAUUUGAUGUGGUGGAGUUAGGUAGAUUGCCAUAUUUGGGGAUAAAUUGACCAAUUGAUGAUCACUAAAUUUAGAGUGUACACGCAAUCUAAUCGGUGAACUUUGAUUUAAAUCAUUAGACGCGCUGAACUUUCGGUCUUUUUCUUUUGCAAAUGAUGCACUUUUACCGGAAACUGGCCAAUUCUUGGUCCAAACACUGAUAUGGCGGAUGUGUGGUGCCGUCAUGGUGUCCAGCUUCGGCACCACGUAAGCACAAAGAAAAAUGCUUAAGGACGUGGGAGGAAAAAAAAAGCUAGAAGGGCCAUCCGUCCUCUACCGACAUUUCCCCGAAUUUGCUGACGGCGACAUGACCCUCUGUAAUUGCAAGCCGCUGUCCUUUAGGGUUUACAAAUUACCAUGUUUGGACUAGUUUCCUAUAUUCUUGUCGGGUCGUGUCGGGUCGAGCCCGUAUUCAUUGUUAAGUUUUGAGCUGUUUACUAUUUUGUGUCUGCUCUAGUUGCACUAAAAAGAUAAAUGUUUUGUUUUUGAAAUUUAAUAAAAUGAAGCAUCAAAGACCUCUUGCUACGGCCUCAUCGAUCCACGAGUGGAAUUGGGCACAUGUUGUUCAUUGGUUCCAUAGCGAGUCUUCAAGAAACUAAUAGUCACAGUUGUAAUGAUUAUCAAUCUGGCCAAUCCGGAUCCAUUGCUUAUCUAAUAGAUUGGCCAAGCUCUAUUUUAUUGAGCAGAUGAUAAAAAAUUCAUGGAAUUCAUCACUAGAUUUUACUUUUAGAAAGGUUAGACACACAAAACUCUAAGAAACUAUGUGGUAUAUUAGUACUGCGUUUGGUCCUCAGGAAGAUGGUCGAUUGGAAAACAUAAUCCAAACAUUUUAAAGAGAUGUUACAGAGCAUGAGUGAUAGACACGGGUAGAUACGGCCCGAUAGAAUUUUCAAUUUUUAUGCUAAAAAGGCAUCUAUUCUAAAUUAAAUCGUAAUUUGUGGCCAAAAAAUCGUCUCACACAUCAAAUUUAAAAUGUUUCCUUCAACAGAACUAAUCUAAUCUAAAUCUGAUCAAAAUAAACUACAUUGGCCCCAUUAAUGUAUCUAACUAAUAAAAAGAUUAACCAAAAUUAAAUAUUGUGGAAAUAUGACAAUUCAUAAUCAAAAGUAUGAAUCUCAAAAACUGCGACUUCUUAAUAUCGUGCAUACAUUGUCGAUGAUAGCUUUGUAGGACUUAUAUUUGCGCGCAAAAUUGAGUUUUAUCUCUAAAUUGCUGGUAGACCAAAGAUAAAGUUGAGUAACUAAAUAAUAAAUAUUUAAUGAAACUUGAUUGGGGGCUAAAUAGUACUGACACGUAAUAUGAUGCGACACGACACGAUACUUGUGUCGGUUCCCACACAACGAGGAUACAAGAUUGGAACUGAACAGUCUGAUUCUAAAAUGGACAAGGUUGGUUCCUGGCUCCACAUAUUGGGAACCGACCCCGUCCAGUCCAAUUUCCACUUUCAAGAUGGGGAUUGACCCACCCUAAAAUUCUUUAGCUGAUUGAAAAGUUCCUCCAUGUCACUAAAAUGGAAGAACAGCCAGAGAAAUUCAGCACAGCCGAAGUCGCUCACAGUGAAAAGUCAGAAUUGACCGAGAAAUGCUCUUCAUGGACGAAUAAUCCUCCCUUGUACCAACCAUAAAAAAAAAAAAAAAAAGGAAAGAAAUCCUCCCUCGCAAGUGCGAGCAUGAGCUCAAGUCCUCCGGCUUUUGGUCCCAGAUACAACUUUAUUUUAUAUCACUUGUAAGAUAUGCAGAAACCUUAUGAUGAUAAUAUGAAAGGAUUGUAAUAAAUAACCCUACUAAAUUGCAAUACAAGUGUAACCCUCAAAAUAAUCUCACAGCAAUUAAAAUAUAUUUUCUCUGGGCGCACUCAAAACACUUAAAAGCGAACUAGCUUUUAUAGUGACACACUCUCACUCACUGGAGAACUCUUUUUGGGCACUGGGCUCGCACAAAACGACAACAACUACAAAAUAUAUAUAUAGAUGCAUUAGCCGACUUGUAUCCUUUGCCGACAUUAUCAUGGAACUGAAUAUGGACAGAGUUUCUUCUUUCGCUAACAGCCUGCUCCUUGAAAGACUCUAGCCGUCUCCAAAGUUCAAGUCGGUAAUUUNNNNNNNNNNNNNNNNNNNNNNNNNNNNNNNNNNNNNNNNNNNNNNNNNNNNNNNNNNNNNNNNNNNNNNNNNNNNNNNNNNNNNNNNNNNNNNNNNNNNGGAUUACGCUUCCAGCAAAUGGUGUCUUCGCGAGCUCGCCCGGAUGAUCGAGUGCAAGAGAAGUGAAGGGCACAUCGUCUUGCCCAUCUUCUACAAAGUCGAGCCCGGGCAUGUGCGACACCAGACGGGGAGUUUCGGGAAGGCCUUUCAUAAAAUUAAGAAGCAUUAUGAGGCAGAGGUGGUCCAACGAUGGGAGCGAGCUCUCCAAGAAGUAGGAAGCUUAAAGGGAUGGGAAUCAGAGAGAACUGCUAACGGGUACUUCUUCUUUCACUCGUGAUCCUGCUUAGCUAGAUCGAAAGUCCGAAAAUUUUAUGCCGCGAUCACUUUUGCAGUGGAAAAAAAAUGAUGGGUUUUUAUCAAUUGGCUGCUUUUUGCUUCCUGUUUAUAUGUGGAUUUGCUUCCGCGGAGAUAUUGAUGAUCGGUUUCUUGUAUUGGACUUUGCUGUUAUUCUACAGACAUGAAGCUGAGUUGGUAAAGAUAAUUGUCAGGAAGGUUUUGGGCGAGUUAAAGGAAGCUUUUCAGUUAGACGUCACGGAGAACUUGGUCGGGAUUAGUAAUCAUGUAGAGGAGAUUAUGAGAAUGUUAAGAACUGAUGACACUGAUACUCGAUUUGUUGGAAUCCAUGGAAUAGGCGGUGUUGGUAAGACGACUCUGGCCAAGUUCAUCUACAAUAAACUCUCCAGUCAGUUCGAUCACUGUAGCUUCUUGGCAGAUGUGCGAGAAACAGCAAAAGACAGGGGUGCCCACCAUUUGCAGAACCAACUAAUCUCCAAUAUUCUAAAAAGAAAACACAAUGACAUCUCCAAUGUCGAUGAAGGACUUAGAAUCAUCAAAACUAGAUUUAGGCAUAAGAAAGUCCUCAUCCUUCUCGAUGAUGUGGAUGAUGUUUCUCAGUUGAACUGUUUGGCUGGAAAACGUGACUGGUUUGGUUCCGGAAGUAAGAUCAUUAUUACGGCAAGAAAAGUGAGUUUUCUUGAUGACGCUCGGGUGGAUAACUCGUAUGCACUCAAUGGAUUGGAUCCUGACAACUCUUUGCUUCUUUUUAGUAGACAUGCAUUCAGAAGGGACUUCCCUUUGCCUGAAUUUGGGGAUCUCUAGCGUGAAAUUGUGUCCACUACAGGAGGGCUUCCUUUAGCACUCGAGGUUAUAGGAUCGUUCUUGUGCGGAAAACGCCUAGUAGUAUGGAAAGAUACAUUAAAGAAGUUACGGCAAAUACCAGAUAAGGAAGUGCAAGAGAAGUUAAGGGUAAGUUAUGAAGCAUUAGAUUAUGAGCAAAAACAGAUAUUUUUGGAUAUUGCCUGUUUUUUCGCUGGAACUGAUGGAAGAAUUGCGUCCUAUAUGUGGGAUGAUUGUGAAUUUUUCCCAGGGAUGGGUAUUGAAGCAUUGAGCAUGAUGUCCUUGAUAAAAGUGGGAAAUGACCAUAGGUUGUUAAUGCAUGACCAACUGAGAGAUCUAGGUAGGGAAAUCGUCCGGCAGGAAAACUAUGAGGAGCCCUGGAAACGUAGUUGCGUAUGGAUUCACAAGGAAGCCUUACAUGUUCUAGAGAAAAACAAGGUGAGAGUUUUCUUUGAUUUACUUUUGUGCACUUAGUCAAUGUUUAUUAUCUACCAUAAAGAGGAAAAAGAAGUUAGUAAAUUGAAUUAGUCCAGCCCUAGUUAAAAGAAGGCCCGUUCGUAAUAUUUUCAACAUUGUGUUACUCAUUGCAUAAUGCAAGUUUGUAAUUCAUGGGAGUAAUAUCCUUAGAGGGUGCUCUUCUGUGAUAAUCAAAGGUUCUCAGCUAACUUAUGGAGUUUAACUCAUUUUAAAGGACAUGUUAGCAAACUUAAUUGUAGCAGUGUUGAGCAUUUUAUAUAUUAGCUUCUGGUGGAUUGCAUAAGAUAAAUUUGUUGAAAGAUACUAUCAAUGAGUUUAGCUGCAACCAUGUGAGCAUAGGAAUUAUUAUGAAACAACAUAUCAUAGUUUUGUUUUCAUGAUGCUUUAUUUCUGAUCCAUGGAAUUCUUACUUUCAGGGAACUAGAAAGAUAAAAGCCCUCCGUCUUAAUAAAAGUGGCUUAGGCAGGGUGUACAGCAAUGUACUGUUUGAAAAGCUACCGAACUUAAAGGUUCCUUGAGAUGAAUAAUUUCAUCCUUUCUGGAGAUUUUAAGUAUGUUCUUUCUGAACUACGAUGGCUUUAUUGGAAAAAUUGUCCAUCAAAUUUGGUAGCAACCAAUUUUCACGUGAAGAAAUUAGUCAUACUUGACUUAUCAAGGAGCAAAGUCACAGAGCAUUGGGAAGGAUGGAAACUUAUGGAUGUAAGAUGAAAAGAGUAGAUUUUCCUUUCAAAAUAUGAUCAAUAAUUCUUAGUGGCUCAUGUUUCCCUACUUUCUUUCUUACAGGUGGCAAGUAAUCUGAAAGUUCUCAACAGUGCUAAUUGCCGUGACUUGAAAACAUCUCCUGAUCUCAUAGCUUCUCAAAAUCUGGAGAUUUUAAUUCUUGGAAAAUGUGAAAAUCUAACAAAAUUGCACCCUUCUAUUGGAAGCAUCAGCACCCUGAUUUCCUUGGAUGUGAGAGACUGUUUCAGACUGAAGGAACUUCCAAUAGAAGUGGGUCUGCUACAAGAAUUAGAGGAGCUUUUCAUGGAUAGAACUCGGAUGGAAGAAAUUCCCGUAUCUAAUGGUUCAAUGAAGAAGCUCAGGACUCUUAGUGCCCAGUAUUGUGAAUCAUUGGCUCGAAUACCCAGCUCGUUAAGCCAUCUAGCAUCUCUGUCAACCCUUGAUUUUACGGGAUGCAGAAAGCUUGCUGAACUUCCAGAUGCCCUAGGGUGCCUUCAGAAACUGCAGCGCUUAUCAUUAAAAGAAUGUAGCUCUUUGAGAGGGAUCCCCAACUCAAUUGGCAAGUUGGAAUGUUUAACUGAGCUGGACAUAUCGUACACAGGAUUUACAGAGUUACCUGAAUCCAUUGGAGACUUGAGUAACUUAGAAGUUCUGCAAAUGGUGCGGUCACAUGUAACAAGGUUACCUAGUGUUAUUGGGAUAUUGGGGAAACUCACCACAUUAGAUGCCACAAAUUGCAACAUCCUGGCAGAAGUUUGUAGUAAUAUUGGUGAAUUGUCUUCAUUGAAGGCCCUCCGAUUGUUGGGGACAGAAAUUUGUGGCUUGCCAGAAAGCAUUUGUAAGCUUUCUUGUCUCCAAGACCUCAACUUACAAGGGUGCAAGAAGCUCCAAUUGCUGCCAAACCUACCCUCUGGCCUGAGAGAACUCUAGGUCUCACUUGUCAGAGUCCUACAUUGCCAAUCCUUUCCAACCUGACAAAUCUAAAGGAACUCUCUGUCCUAGAAUGCUCUACACUUGAAUGCCUCCCAGAGCUUCCCUCCAAACUGUCAAAGCUUUCCUUUAUAGGAUGCCAAAUGUUGAGAAAGUUGCCAGAUUUGUCAACCUUGAAGCAUCUUUCAGAAUUGAGUCUGACAGUUUGCUCUGAACUGAGAGAAGUCAAAGGUCUGGAAGGAUUAGUAUCACUCACAAUGUUGGAUGUGUUGAAGUGCCCAAAGUUAUCUAGGCUUGGUAAGGUAGAAUGUUUGAUGUCUCUGAGGUGCUUAAAGAUGGGACCUUCGGAAGCAUUAGAGAGGUCGAUGGUUCGUUCAGAACUGAGUAAUUUAAAGGUGCUUCCAAGUUGUGAGAAUCAAGUUGGAUUUCAAGUUCUUAAUAGCUUCAUUUGCUUGGAAGUUUUGGAUCUCACUAAAUGCAUGUCUAUGGAAAGAUUGGACCUUUCAACUUUGAAGCUUUUAAGGAAAGCAAGUGUUAGGAAAUGCAAGAAUCUAGUCGAAAUUAGAGGCCUUGACAGCUUGGUAUACUUGGAGAGGUUGGAUAUCUCUGAGUGCACAUCCAUUAAGAGACUGGAUAUUGCAAAAUUGAAGUUUCUGAGAUAUUUUUGGGCUUCCAAAUGCAAGAAUUUAUCUAAAGUCCAAGGCCUUGAUGUCUUGGAGUGCUUGGAAUGGGUGGACAUCUCUGGGUGCACAUCGAUUGAAAUAUUACCAGACUUUUCAUGCUACAACACCCUGAAGUUUCUGAACAUCAACCACUGCGAGAAACUACGUGAUAUUCUGGCCCUGGAGAAAUUCUCAUCCUGCCAAUGGCUCUGCAUUGAUGGAUGCAAGUCCCUAGAGAAACUGCCAAACCUUUCAAAAUUUGAAGGUUUGAUAGAGUUGAUAGUGAAAGAUUGUCAUGAACUUAUGGAUAUGUCACAGCUUAAAGAGUUGAGAUCAUUAGAAUUUAUAGAUAUGUCAAGAUGCAAGUCCAUUGAGCAUCUGCCAGAUAUGUCGAUGUGCAAGAACUUGAAAUGUUUGGUUGUAAGAGACUGCGAGAAACUUAUUGAGCUUAUGGGGCUUGGAGACUUGGACACGCUGUGGCAAGUGGAUAUUUCUGGAUGCAAGUCACUGAAACAAAUACCAGAAUUACCUGGAGCACACAUCAUGCAGAAUUAUGGCGAACCUAUGUUUCAUCCCUUGUAUGGGACUAUCACUUUCAGCUGAUAUGCUGCACAUAGUUCUACUGCCAUGUCAAAGUUGAGAGAUUAAAAAGAAGGUGAUCACCCAUGCCCUGUUCACACCUAUUUCCUGUGUUUUAAUCGUGUUAUCUGUAUCAAGAAGUAAAUUUUCCUUCAUGGCCUUUUCUAUUAUCAUUUCUUUCCACUAUAUAGUUCAAGCAAUGGAAAGAAGUUGAUGCUCUGGCAAUUGUUUAUUUCUAGAGUGGAACUUCUUCACCCAGUUGGAAACCUUCUCUAAGUAUUUUUGAUAUCAUCGUGGGUUGACAACUCGAGUUCUUAAUCUUCAACACGAGAUUGAUUAGUGAUGUGCACGUACAGACUUCGGAGGUUAUUUUGCUUGGAUACCUGAUAUGUCCUGUUUGUUUCACUAACACAGGGAACAGGUGACUAAAGUAGAACAUCUUCUGAUGAAUUUUUAUGUUAGAUUUGUAGAUGUAUAUUUGCUGUUACUUGCCUUAUCUUUAUGAAAAUUACCUUAUCACGACAUUCCAUUUCUUGAAUUGUUAGCAGGAUUCAUGCAGUUUAUAGAGGCUCUAUCUAUAAUUUGUUUGGGAUUGACUACAUAUUGCAGCUUUCUGUGGAAGGAGUUAGACAUUGUUAAAUUUUGGAACGCUUCUCCAGCUUGGACCUUGGAAAUUCCUCCGAGUUUAUAGGAGAGAUGAAUCUCAAAGAAUUAAUAUUCCUGGCUAUAUUGGAGUGCAACAAGCAAAGCUUCAUUUGAUUUUCACCGAGGAACCAGCGUUUUCUCCUAAAUAUGAUUGAGGAGCUUUCCUCCGUUUCCUUUCAUAAUAAUAUUAUGCCUGAGAACGUUCCUCAAUUUCAUUAUUGGACCAUUAUGCAAUCAGUUUUGAAUGAAGAACUAGAGUUCUUUUUCAUUAUGCAGUAACAGUGACAAUACUUGCAGGAACACCCACGCCUGGUGAACCUAUUCUUCAUUUUAUCUCGAUACUUCCUGCACAUUCCACGUAAAUGAGCAAGGGUUAAUGACUAUUCUAAAUUGAGUUAAUAACUAGGGCAGCUGCUUGAUCACUACUUAUGCUCGUGGUUUUAGUUUGCUUCCUUUGGGGCUUCUUUCAUGGGAGUGAUGCUUUUCCAAAAUGUGUUGGCCAGCCUCUCCGUUUGUAAGCUGAGAAUUGUAGGAUCUGUGGUCGUGGGAAGAAGGAAAUGAAUCGUGAUUGUAUCAACCCAGAGAGUGAAAACUGCAUUGUAUCUAGUCCGUGUAUUCGCUUGUCAAACAAUGCAGUCUUUGGUAGUUAGCCUGUGUAAGUUCACGAUGUAAGAGAGCGAGAUUUAUUUACCUACUCGUGUAUCACAGUCGCCAUGAAUUGACCAGGAAGACACCAAGCGGCAAAACUAUGCACUGAUUUGCCUUUUUCUCUCUUUCUUUUUAGUUCAAGGAACCAGGAGACUCCAAGAACAUAUGGAAAGCUAGCUGCCUUGUCGAAGGGCAUUUUCCAACAUAGCCACUGGUAUUGUGCACCAGCUACAGGAAACCAUAUAUGGCAAGAAAAUAUCUUUCUAAGACACUAGAUGCUAUCAACUCGCGAUUCUCCAAUUGCUGACUUGCAAUUGGCAAAAGUGGCUCCAACCAUUCUGGAUUGAGAAAGAAGCAAUAAGAGUGGAACUGAAUAUUUCGCAUCCUCUGAUACGCGAAGAAGCGUGAGAAGUUCACUACAUAUCUGCAGAAAUUUUUGAGAGAUAUCAUUUCUGUCUGAAUGGACCAUUCCAAAUCUUGUAUUGACGUGAGGGGAAGACAAACAACUCAGGUAUGUUAUAAACUGCUUCUGAGGCUAUAAAUUACUGUUAACUCUAAUUGCCACCUGCAUAAGAAGACCGGUUUAUGAAAGAUCUCAUGUUCCCAUAUGUCCAAACUUGUUCAGAAAGAUGUGCACUUUACCCUGUAAAGCAUAUGCUCCACUUUUAGUUCAUUUAUUAGAGAUCUUCUAUCUGUUCUGGCUUAUAAUUUUCUCAACAAGAAGAGAGAGUGUAAGCAAUGGUGCUGAUGCCAGCAAUUCAGGCGCCGUGGGAGCAUCCACUUGUCCAUUCAUCUCUCCAAGUGGUGUGGGAAAUGACUGCAACAAAGUGUUCUUGAGCUUUAGAGGCACAGAUGCUCACACAGGAUUCACAAAUCAACUCUACCAUUCGCAAACUUGUCGAUGUAGGCACUGUGCCAGCUCAUGUUCAGAGAUGAUAAAGACCUCCAAGUCGGCAAGGAGUCUGGGUCAGAGCUUCUCAGCGCAAUCGUGCAGUCUAAGAUCACGGAACCAAUUAUCUCUCCCAAUUAUACUUUCAAUAAAUGGUGUCUUUGCAAGCUCAUUCAAAUGAUGGAGUAGAGAAACAGAGGAAAGUCUUGCUGAUGUUUUACAGAGUCGAUCCCUCACAUGUGCGGUACCUGAAAGGGAGUUUUCGCAAGGCCUUCCGCUCACCCAAAAAGCAUUUUGAUGCGAAGGCUGUCAAGCCAGGGCAGCGAACUCUCCGGGCAGUGAGUUUCUUAUACAGAUGGGAAUAAGAAAAAAUCGCUAAUGGGUACCUUCGUUUCCGUUGAACCUUGCUUACUUUCUUUCAACAAGAUCUUACUGGGGGUAAAAGAAAGACAUUAUUUCGUUACCAUAAUCAUCCUGAACUCUUACCCGCAAAACCAG
This 20296-nucleotide long non-coding RNA is filed under the name Eucalyptus grandis. RNAcentral describes it as "long non-coding RNA (EGRA_LNC001278)". Lineage: Eukaryota; Viridiplantae; Streptophyta; Magnoliopsida; Myrtales; Myrtaceae. The record is from RNAcentral.